UCCACGCCCUAAACGAUGCGAACUGGAUGUUGGGUGCAAUUUGGCACGCAGUAUCGAAGCUAACGCGUUAAGUUCGCCGCCUGGGGAGUACGGUCGCAAGACUGAAACUCAAAGGAAUUGACGGGGGCCCGCACAAGCGGUGGAGUAUGUGGUUUAAUUCGAUGCAACGCGGAGAACCUUACCUGGCCUUGACAUGUCGAGAACUUUCCAGAGAUGGAUUGG
RNAcentral lists this ribosomal RNA (222 nucleotides) under uncultured bacterium. RNAcentral's name for it is "partial 16S ribosomal RNA". It matches the Rfam family "Bacterial small subunit ribosomal RNA", at positions 794 to 1014 of the family's 1533-position model. The record is from RNAcentral.